GGGGGGGGGGGGGCAUAGGACCCCUACGAUCAUCGGUCACAGGGCCUAAAAUUGUUGACGCCAUGGGGGGAGGGGAGGUGCAAAUGGUUCUCCAGCCACGGAGCCCUAACGACCAUCUUUCCGGGGGCCCUUGUCGCUAAUACUCUGUCCACUUGUAGACAUACGGCAUACUACAGACUAGAGAUCUUCGGUGACCGCCUAGUCCGCCUACCUUUAGAUCCACCGCUGGUUCAUGACGGAGUUUUUUUUUACUACGGAGAUGCAUCAUUCCCCCUGCCUGCUGCGUAUGCACCGGGCAGGAGACAGUGUGGCAGUAUGCAAGUUGCACACUGGAUAGGAGCGGGCCCGCGGCACCGCCAUCAUUCCGCACAUCUGCAUGCCCGUCGUGGGUUCUAACCGCGUAUGAACCGUCCGCCGUAGCAAGAAUUGACUAUCCGGCUACGUCCCAACCAACCAAACCGUGCUCUUUCGAAGUAAAUUUGCUUCGAUAUACCUUCGAUAGAAGCCCCCAGGACAAUCGCAUGGCAAUCGGAUUGAACGCGCAACAUUUUCCAUACAAUCCGCAGUGUUGCGUUUUCUUCGCGCCAACUUCCCAACCAGCAUUAUCGCGCGAUUUUUAUGUGUAUCUAUCAUUUUUCUCAUUCUAACAUUCACAAAAUUUUUCAUUCUGCCUCGCUCUUCUGGGUGUUGGUCUGUAUUUGCUUGCGACUUGGCUGUGUUGCAUCAACGAUUCGCAUGUUUCAUUUAGCUCAUCCCUUUCCAUCGUUGGAGAGAAACUCUUGCGUCUCGCUUUUCUGGGACUUGUCCAAAUUCGCUUGCUACACCAAUCGUUCACGCAAGCGUUCUCCUCUCGCCCGCUCUUUGUAUCAUUGUACAGGUACUCCCCGAUAUACGCUAUCAAUGCGUACCGGAGGCAAUAGCGUAUCUCGAAUAUACAAUAGCGAAAGUCGAAUUUCGAGGUUUUCAGUCAAAUUAUAACUAAUAUCCGUAUAACUUUGCAUGAAGUGGUAGGUUUUAGCCACUUAAUUAGUUAUUUGAUCUAAUUUCAACUGAAUUUUUCAAUUUUAUACCAUUUGAAAUGGUUUUUAAUAUUCAACCAAAAUGGAAUUUAUUUUGCAUUUGACAUUCGAUUUCUAAAAUUAGUACUACUUGUUCAAAGAACCGUCAAAUUUAGAAAAAAGCGUAUAGCGAAAUCGUGUAUAUCGAGUAUGGCGUAUAUCGGGGAAUACCUGUAUAGGAACACGAGGAAGGCGCUGCUUCGCGUUCACAUGAAAAUGUGGUAGUGUGAAAUCAAGUUUGCAAGCGGUAGGACGCGUCGGUGUGUGUCCGUUUUUUCUCUCGUGAAACCAGUACGGAAAAACUAUUUGAAAUCGUAACACACGCACGAACGGAAGUGAGCACGGACCACAACAGAAGCAAUAUUCAAUUGGUUGGAGUGCCGAAAACAGAACAGGAGAGGAAAGAAGGCAGGAACGAUCCGAUCCUCCAACGUGCUAGCGCCUGGUAGAGGAGAAGCGGCAGGAAGGUAGAGACGAACAUCCAGCUCGCUAGUGCAGCACGUGGGAGCAGCAAGAGGG
Long non-coding RNA from Anopheles coluzzii, 1577 nucleotides. RefSeq lists it as uncharacterized. The transcript has 3 exons. The record is from RefSeq and is a predicted model, not a curated record. NCBI's taxonomy places the organism in Eukaryota, Metazoa, Arthropoda, Insecta, Diptera, Culicidae.